AAUCUUCAACACACAAACAGACACACACCUCCUUCAUAACUGUGUAAUGCUGUCAACCACCUGGUUGCUGCUGCCACAACAAACAAAACACAAACUGCGGGAAAAACAACACCUCGUCAGCAUUACUUCAGAAAAGCCAGCAAAUAUUAAAACACAUUAGAGCUGAGAAAAGUUUCCCUCUGAUUAAAUAAAACUACCAAAGUCUGCACAUUUCUGCUGUUGAAGGGCUUUUCUGGAAUUCUGGAAUCUUGAUUAGUGAGCAGUGAAUGAGUAAAUGUAGAUACCAGGAGUGAUCAAAUAGUUCUUUAACCGUUUCUAUUUCUGUUUCAUAAGUCUGGAGCCCAGCAUCAUCAUACACCUGCAACAGGUGGGAGCAGAGACCUGAUUGGACUUCCAGGAAGCGUUAUAAGCAUUGCAGGAACACAAGGAGUGGGAUGUUGGAGCUUAAAGAGACUAAUUUGACAGGGAUGGUGGCCAAAUUAGAAAUAGCAGCGCCUUCAGCAGCUUCAGGUCUGGAGGAGGCUGAGCUCUCCGUAGCCAGUAGCAGGUGACGGCCACCGGGAGGCGCAGCUCAGGCAGCAGGUCAUUCAGUGUGGCCUCGGUCACCCCCAAGGCCUCCAGCAGAACCUGGAGACGUUCAGACAGAUUCGCCUAGGGCCACCAUACAGCAGAACAUAAUGUGGAACAAGGCACUGACCUCUGUUCACCCAGCAGCAGCCCGUACAUCACCUGGCGGAGCGGCCUGGAGGUCAGGUUAACACUGGGCUGGUCUUUGUGUCCCACGGUGACACUGAGGCUCAUCCUUUUCAGCAGUAACACAUCCAGGACAUCUGGGGUCAGUCGGGCCUGCCUCAGUUGUAGACGAAUCCAGUCCGGGACCUGAUGGAUUGAACCCACCUCCAGGAGAACAGCACACAACAAGUCCAGGGUAUUACAGAGUCUCUAUAGCACUUUUUCUCCACUAUGCUGUGGCUGUAAUUGUUUCUAUUCAGAUUAUUCUGAAUUAUGAAAUUGUUUUUCAAGUAAAAUUUUUCCCUCUGAACCACCAAA
Long non-coding RNA from Acanthochromis polyacanthus (spiny chromis), 1050 nucleotides. RefSeq lists it as uncharacterized. The transcript is spliced from 3 exons. Lineage: Eukaryota; Metazoa; Chordata; Actinopteri; Pomacentridae. The record is from RefSeq and is a predicted model, not a curated record.